RNAcentral lists this ribosomal RNA (460 nucleotides) under uncultured bacterium. Its description in RNAcentral is "partial 16S ribosomal RNA". It matches the Rfam family "Bacterial small subunit ribosomal RNA", at positions 338 to 795 of the family's 1533-position model. The record is from RNAcentral.
CCUACGGGAGGCAGCAGUGAGGAAUAUUGGUCAAUGGACGCAAGUCUGAACCAGCCAUGCCGCGUGCAGGAAGACGGCUCUAUGAGUUGUAAACUGCUUUUGUACGAGGGUAAACGCAUAUACGCGUAUCUGUCUGAAAGUAUCGUACGAAUAAGGAUCGGCUAACUCCGUGCCAGCAGCCGCGGUAAUACGGAGGAUUCAAGCGUUAUCCGGAUUUAUUGGGUUUAAAGGGUGCGUAGGAGGUCGGAUAAGUUAGAGGUGAAAUCCCGAGGCUCAACUUCGGAAUUGCCUCUGAUACUGUUCGGCUAGAGAGUAGUUGAGGUAGGCGGAAUGUAUGGUGUAGCGGUGAAAUGCUUAGAGAUCAGACGGAACACCGAUUGCGAAGGCAGCUUACCAAGCUACUUCUGACGUUGAGGCACGAAAGCGUGGGUAGCAAACAGGAUUAGAUACCCUUGUAGUC